Long non-coding RNA from Hemibagrus wyckioides, 6693 nucleotides. RefSeq lists it as uncharacterized. The transcript is spliced from 4 exons. The record is from RefSeq and is a predicted model, not a curated record. Lineage: Eukaryota; Metazoa; Chordata; Actinopteri; Siluriformes; Bagridae.
UAGCAUUCCCAUUUCAUUCCCUGCAUGCUCAAAUGUCUGGAUGGAGAAUUCAUCAUCCAUGCCACUUUUUGAAGUGAAGAUGGAAUACCUAUUGGAAACUUUGUAUUCACCGAGGCCCUCAGUCACCAAUCUGCGCAGAUGGACACUUUGACUGAAACUCUUUAUCUGAAGUUAGCUGCAUCACUGGAAUCCAAAACAACAACUGGAAAAUAUAACCUAAAAAUAUGCUCUCAUGUGCCAGGAAACAGCCAGAACAAAAGAGCAAUCCGUUCCUUUACAGUGGUUUCAUCGCUCACUGAUCAGGUUUCCACAAAUGCGGUCGGUAGCGCUGAUACAUGUCACUCUGUUGAAUGACAAGGAAGUAAGACAACAAUGGCGGCUGUACCUCGACCAAGCUGGUGCGAAGAUUGUGCAGUCGUGUCUUGGAAAUCAGAGGAAAGACAGCUGGAAAGCCCAUCAUGCUGGCGGUUUACAGACUGUUUGCACUUCAUUGUCUGCUGAUCUCUGGUCUCAUCACUAUGCUUUACCUGUGUUCGGCUUCUCUUUAUCUUUCCUUACCGCUUCUUAUCCACAAUGUUGAUGUCUCCAAGGUGACCAGCAAGUGUUGUGGAAUGGAUGUGGAUAAGGAAGUGACACGUAGUCUUAGUGCAUGGGUUCUGUUAUCAGGAUUAUUUUAGAAGGCUCAGAAAAUGUUCAUGAAUCACAGAUACACCAGAUAUAUUUGACUCCUUGAACUGUGUGUUUAGAUUUACCAUGUUUUUGCCCUUCUUUUGUCUUUUUUCUGUAUAUUUUGCCUAGUAGAGGGUGCGACUGCAGCAGAGCAGAAGGCCAGCAAUUCUGACACCUGCAGCCAUCUGAGGGGAUUUCAAACGCCAUCUGCGACCCACCUGGCUCUUGAAUCAACAACCCUCCAUGUCUCAGGCUGGAGUCCCAAACCACGAAACCACAUCUGGGCCUCAUCUGAUCAUCUGAAUCACUGACACUUGUCCACACCCUUAUUCCCAAGGGUGCUCCACCCUAACUAGAACCAGAUGAGUUGUAGCAUGUCAUACUUGGAGGAAAACCAAUCACACAUGACAGAACUGGCAUGAGGCCUGAAGCACAGCUGUUUUUUGGAUUGAAAAAGACUCUCUGCUAGUAAUGGAGUGCUAGGCAGUAUGGAGGCCUGACUCCUGCGAGAUCCAUUUCAUACUUUUGGGGGUUAUCAUCGAGGACGGGUGGAGGGCCACAUACACGCCCCCACACACCCGUAUAUAUAUGGAGAAACCCAGAACUGCAAAUGAGUCCAGAGAGCCUAUUUUUAUCAUAAUGGGAAGAUCUUGUUUUUAAUCACAAUAAGAACAUAAAAGUAAAAAGACAGACUGUUAAACUUUAUACUUUAUUUCAGUGUCUAGGAAACAGUUGUACUUGUGUCUUUCAUGUUCAUACCUUCCUUACAAAGGAAAUUUUUAAAUCAGAUGCCAAGGAAAUUAUAUUUCAAUAGCACAUUUCAUGAAGGAAAUAAAAGAAAGAAAAGGAAGAAAGGAAGGAAGCGGGAAACAGAGAAUUAGAAAUAAAUUAGACUAUGCAUUAAAAGAAAACCAGAACUGUAAUUGUAAUGAUAUUUAUACAUUUUAGCUACAACUACAUAGCCAUGAUAAGCGCUUAUGAUUGCCUCAAAUGCAGUAAAAUCCAGUACACUUCAAAGCCUAAUUAGAUUUGUGCUCUUAAAAUACGUAGAUUGCGUCAUCCAUGCAUUAGAGUCAUGUACACUACUAAAACAGGUCAUAAAAAUUAGGGCACUGCUGUAAUGUUUAAUGCUUUUCUUCAGUGUUUGCUGUUCAGCAGCAAGCUGUAAUAUUUUUUUUGAGUGGCACCAGACCACAGCUGUGCACUGUGAGAGUGUGUGAUUUACCUUUAUGCAUAUUCUCUUGUUGUUUGUUGUUGUUGUUAUUGUUGUAGGGCAUGGUGGCUUAGUGGGUAUCAUGUUUGUGGCCCUCCUCUGGGGUUGAGGGUUCGAUUCACACCUCUGCUCUAUGUGCACAGAGUUUGCAUGUCCUAAGAAUUACUCCUAGUCCUAAAACAUGCAAUGUAGGCAGAUUACCAUCUAAUAUCUCUAAAUUAUCCAUAAAGUGUACGACUGUGCACUGUAAUGAGUUGGGACCAUGUCCAGGUUGUCCCCUACUUUCUUCACCAAGUCCCCUGGGAUAGACUGUGACCCUGUAUAGGACAAUCGGUAGGGAAAAUGAAAAUUAUUAUUAUUGUUGAUGGAAUUACUAUUGUGCUUGCAAUGCAUUGAUUGAUUAACUUGGCAGCUUCAAAAAGCACAGAGGAGACACUCUCUUGAAACCAUAUGGCAGCAAUUGUUUUGACACCAAAACAUUUAAAAUGCUGGGUCAGAGCAGCAAAGCACUCUGGGAAGCUGUCUAUACACUCCAAGUUCUUAAGACAUUUAACUAUGAUUUCUCUCAUCUUGCUCUCUCUCUCUCUCUCUCUCUCUCUCUCUCUCUCUGUUGUUCUACAUGUCCUGCAUAAUCUUGGCCUCAUUCUAUAUGAAUUUUACAGCAAGCCCCAAAAGCCCCAAAUUAUAUCACAGCUUUCUAUAAAUCCAUAUUUUAAACAAGAAGUGAGACAGAGAGAGAGCGCAAACCUUUUUAAGCCCACUUGCUUUAAUUUUAUGUUUCCCAUAGAGGCUACAGGCCACAGAAACUGUUAGACUCCUCUUAUCAACAGUCACAAUUUCAGCUUACAAUGAAUCCAAGCUGCAAACAUACACCUAUUUUUCAUGCUUGCCAGAGAUAUUAUGAAGAUAUUUUCCCUGCCAUUUCUUUAAGGUAUAGAACAGCAUUAUUUCCACUGACAGUUUUAGGGAGAAAAAAAAGUGAUAUAGCGUUGUUAUAGCUGUGGUUUUAUCCAGCCACCAGCUAAUCCCUUCUGAAAGCCCACUUGCAAUAAAGUGCAACCAUGCUUUUAACACUAGCCCUCUAACCACCCAGCAUUUCUCCAUUUGAAGAGUUAUUGCUGGGCUUUUCAUUACAAAUAUACACAAUAGGGACUUGCUGGCUGUAGUAUUUAAUGUACAUGACUAUAUGUUAUGAUUAACUACAUAUAUCACACCCAUCUCUGUUUUAAAGCUCAAAACAGACUGAAGGGGAAAAAAGCAUCGUCGUUCUCUUGCUCUGUGGAAAUUUUAGCACAGAGUGGGAGAAAGUAUAAAACAUAUGCAAACAAAAAAAGCUGUAACUGCAACUAAAACUAGAAAAAUGUGACUGAAUCAAGUCUAUCCCAGGAAAAAUACACACUGAAUGGGAUGCCUUUUCUUCUCUGCACAAAUAUUCAUACCUACGAGCAAUUUAGCAUAGACAAUCCCUGCUACUGGCAUGUUUUUGGGAGGAAUUUGUUGGAAUCCCAUGUGGACCUGGAGAAAACAUGCACAGAAACACCACACAGACAGUAACCUGAGCUCGAACCGGAGAACCUAGAGCUGUGAGGCAGUAAGUCUACUCACUGCACCAGCAUCCAACAUUGCAAUUUAUUUAUAUUGUCCCAUUUGCCAUGAGAAGACGCUUCCUCUUUAUUUUUUGUCACUGUUACCAGUGUGAUAUUAGAUCCAACACUGAGCAUGUCCUAUCUGUGAAAUGUGUGAAAAUAGGUUCCUAGUUUAUGAAAAGAGGACUAAUUUGGGACUCAUACUGCGGUUACUGCUGCUAUAUUUAAAAAAAUUAGUAAAUCUUGCAUGUUGUGUAAACAGUAGUUCAAAUUUUUAUUUCUUUUUUUCUUUUGUGCUUUCUUCCCUUUGUGCAUUUCAGGAGGCUUAAAAACAGCCAAGGAGGAUUUAUGUGGCGAUAUUUUUUAGUCACAGAUGUGAAAGCACUAGACAAGCUGUUACUCAAAGCAGUCACUGACCGUAUUUAUCCAGUGGUGGUUGUUAACUCAAAUAAGAAGGUUAACCCAGGGUUUAAUAAUGUACUGUGUUAAAGGUCAGAUUAUGAAUAGUCAGGAUUUAAUUGUUAACCCUAGGUACAGUGUGAGCAGUGUGAAAUGUGAAAUAAGAUAACCCAGAUUCCCUUUACCCAGAGUUUACAAUCACCAGUAUGAAAAGCUCUACUCUUCUAGUGUUCAAACAUUUAGGGGAUCUUCCAGAGGGAAAUCUGAAGAACCAUUAAAGUUUCGAAAUUUUGUAAAAGUUUAAAAAAUGCUAAUAGUAGCCCAAAACCAGCACAAUAUACAGUCUAAACUGCUUCCUUUGGCCCAGGCUAAUAUUCAUGCCGUUAAAAGCAAUGGAAUCAUUUUGUACUGUAUAUCUAUUUCAGAUGAGGCAUCUUGGCAUUCAAAGAACUGGGAUUUACAGCUCCACUGGAUCAAUCGCUUAGUAUCAGUUAAUGAAAUACACCACAUGCUGUAUUCCCCUGCUCACUCCCCUUCAUUAACAACAUUACAAAUGUCCAGAUCGCAUUAGUCCAGGUUAAAUCAAAAAUGCCAUUUCACCAAAAUAAAUUGAGCAUUUCUUGUUUUCUAGUGCACAUUUUGAUUUGCUGGAUUCUACAGCCUCAAUUCAGUGGGAAGACUUCCAAAUGUUUACUGGUGUAUCAGUUUCAGAGGUGCACAGAAUUAAAUCAGAAUCGAGACAAGUGGAGAACACAAUUAAACCUGGUUCCAUUGGGCCCCCUGCAUGGCCACAAAGACAUCAAUUAUCAUUAGAGCUUGUUUUGGUGGAUGGUGACCUUCAGUCCACUCCUACGCCGUUCCUCAACCAGCCUGUCAGUCCUGGCACAGGUUCGACAUGUGCGAUCACUGCGUUUGCGCUCCAAAUUGUAGUCGAGCGUCAGAUAUAAAGAGCCCGCGAGACCCAUUCGCUUUAGCAGGCAACGUCCGCUCCGCCAGUGCGUCACAUGCUCCAUGCCGACACUUUCUUUUCUUUCCUUCACUUUUUUUUAUUAUUAUUAUUUUUUUCCCUUACAAGUGCUUUGACCUUUGGAGAUUUUUCACAAUUGUUCCUUUCCCCUUCUUCUUCUUUUCUUUUUUUCCAUCCACUUUUUUCCUGCCCUCCCCCUUCAGUUAGUAUUAUGCCUUUCUUGUUUUGUUUUGCUGUUUCUCUUUGGCGAUUUCUAUGGUGACAGUGCGCUUCCCAGGAACAAUGAAGCCUGGGGGAUUAAGAAGCGCGAACAGUCAUGACUGUUUCAUAAAUAGGUAGGAGACAGAGGAGCACUGAAUGGGAUCAGCAGAUGUGAUGAGAAUGGCAGAAUUUCGAUCAUUUGGAGAAACAAAGACAAAAAAGACAUUAUGAUGGAAGGACAAAAGAUCAAGACAAUUUUGUCUCGUCUGCACUAAGCAUGAGAUCAUCUGAUGUGGCAUUGCUUCACUCUGUUGCUCUUUAUAAUUUACACAAAACUUAAAAGAAUUGCUGUUACGCAGUAAGAACCAAUUAUAUUCAACAUAAUCAAAGCAUUCCAACCAUUACCGACAUCUGUGAAUUCGGAUCUCUCCUUUCCCAAACCUAUUCUCUCUUUGAGUCCAAGAGUUCAUUCCACCUAAUUUCAGCUCUAACUCUUAAUUUGGGCCAAUGGGAGACAAAUAUCGUGCUUUGAAUUUCUUGGCAGUGACACUCGUAGCAUUAGCAGACCACUGGAAACCAAUCACCAGGGUUCUUCUUCUCUUUUUACGUCAUAGCGCAGGGUGGGUUAUCAUUAGCAUGAUCGUGUUCAUCAGAACAGAUUCUAGCCUCACAAACAUGCUUCACGGCUAGUUAAACGCACGCAUGUACACAUAUAAACACACAGCUUAUUCCCAAGCCUGCUUCAGCAGCCCGACAAGCAGAAUUAGUGCAGAAAGCAUGAGCAUGUUACCAUGUACUCUCUCUCUCUCUGCCUCUCUCUCUCUCUCUCUCUCUCUCUCUCGCUCUUUCUCUGGAAAAGCCAGCCACUCUCACCAAGAGCUCUGGUCUCAGGGUGCAUUCUUGUUAACACACAGUGCAGGUGUGUGAGAUGAGACAAAGGCAUCUGGCCAAGAAAGAAUGAAAACAGAGUUAAGCUGUUCUACUUAUUACACAGUCCUGGGAGAUCGCAGCCAAUGUGUAUGGUUUUAAGUUGUAGUAGUUUUGAGAGUCCUGGGUCAAAGCUAUUUCUCAUUUACUACAGACCCCUUUGCUCAGGAAGCCCUUUGUAAGUGGGAAGGCUGGUCUCAUACUGGAACAUUUCCAUAGCAAAGAGUUGAGUUAACAAUCCUCCAUUGCCUGGUGCUGUCAACGGAACAGGAUCUCAACACCCACCUGAUGGUUUGGACUGUGUAGGGAUUAUUGGUUUUAAGUUUAGAGCCAUGUCACUCUUGAAGCGCAUCCGCUUCAUGACACUGACAUCACAAGCGUCUCAUGGUAACUGAGAGAAAUAUUUUGCCUCCUUCACAGCCAUCACCUGUCAGUUUACACCAAGGGGGUUAACAGAACACUUCUGCAUGGGCAGGACACAAAGAAAGCUAAGGAGACAGCAAACAUUUGAGUAGGCAAAGAUGUAAGAACAUAACACGCUGUAUCCUAGAGGAAGUGGCAAAUCUCAGGUUGCAUGCUAUGUCCUCCAUCAUUUUCAUACAUUUGUGCUGGCUGAAUGAGUUUUGUGUGUCAGGUUUUAUGUCUGUUUUAUGUUGUUUCUUGUCAACUAGUAAAUUCUCUCUGUUCCUAAAGCAUGUGUUGUGUUGUAUUUGGGCUAAGUAAAUGCCACA